UAGCCGUAAACGAUACUCGCUAGGUGUCGGCCACGGUGCGACCGUUGUCGGUGCCGUAGGGAAGCCGUGAAGCGAGCCACCUGGGAAGUACGGCCGCAAGGCUGAAACUUAAAGGAAUUGGCGGGGGAGCACAACAACGGGUGGAGCUUGCGGUUUAAUUGGAUUCAACGCCGGAAAUCUUACCGGGACCGACAGCAACAUGAAGGCCAAGCUGAAGACAUUGCCGGAUUAGCUGAGAGGUGGUGCAUGGCGUAGUCGUGU
This 261-nucleotide ribosomal RNA is filed under the name uncultured archaeon. Its description in RNAcentral is "partial 16S ribosomal RNA". It matches the Rfam family "Archaeal small subunit ribosomal RNA", at positions 748 to 1009 of the family's 1478-position model. The record is from RNAcentral.